UACGGGGGGGGCAAGCGUUGUUCGGAAUUACUGGGCGUAAAGGGCUCGUAGGCGGCCAACUAAGUCAGACGUGAAAUCCCUCGGCUUAACCGGGGAACUGCAUCUGAUACUGGAUGGCUUGAGUUCGGGAGAGGGAUGCGGAAUUCCAGGUGUAGCGGUGAAAUGCGUAGAUAUUCGCAAGAACACCAGUGGCGAAGGCGGCUUACUGGUCCGGUUCUGACGCUGAGGCGCGAAAGCGUGGGAGCAAACAGG
RNAcentral lists this ribosomal RNA (252 nucleotides) under uncultured bacterium. RNAcentral's name for it is "partial 16S ribosomal RNA". It matches the Rfam family "Bacterial small subunit ribosomal RNA", at positions 524 to 776 of the family's 1533-position model. The record is from RNAcentral.